AUUGAACGCUGGCGGCAUGCCUUACACAUGCAAGUCGAACGGUAACAGGUCUUUCGGGAUGCUGACGAGUGGCGCACGGGUGAGUAAUACAUCGGAACGUGCCUAGUAGUGGGGGAUAACUACUCGAAAGAGUGGCUAAUACCGCAUGAGAUCUAUGGAUGAAAGCAGGGGACCUUUGGGCCUUGUGCUACUAGAGCGGCCGAUGGCAGAUUAGGUAGUUGGUGGGAUAAAAGCUUACCAAGCCUACGAUCUGUAGCUGGUCUGAGAGGACGAUCAGCCACACUGGGACUGAGACACGGCCCAGACUCCUACGGGAGGCAGCAGUGGGGAAUUUUGGACAAUGGGCGCAAGCCUGAUCCAGCAAUGCCGCGUGCAGGAUGAAGGCCUUCGAGUUGUAAACUGCGUUUGUACGGAACGAAAAGUCUUGGGUUAAUACCCUGGGAUCAUGACGGUACCGUAAGAAUAAGCACCGGCUAACUACGUG
Molecule: ribosomal RNA, 484 nt
Filed under: uncultured bacterium
Lineage: Bacteria
Description: partial 16S ribosomal RNA
Rfam family: Bacterial small subunit ribosomal RNA
Source: RNAcentral